This 73-nucleotide transfer RNA is filed under the name Helianthus annuus (common sunflower). It matches the Rfam family "tRNA". Rfam says of the family: Transfer RNA (tRNA) molecules are approximately 80 nucleotides in length. Their secondary structure includes four short double-helical elements and three loops (D, anti-codon, and T loops). RNAcentral also lists the same sequence under 1 other name. Lineage: Eukaryota; Viridiplantae; Streptophyta; Magnoliopsida; Asterales; Asteraceae. The record is from Rfam by way of RNAcentral.
GUUGCUGUGGUGUAGUGGUUAUCACGUUUGCUUUACACGCAAAAGGUCUCCGGUUCGAUCCCGGGCAGCAGCA